Molecule: ribosomal RNA, 635 nt
Filed under: uncultured eukaryote
Lineage: Eukaryota
Description: eukaryotic LSU rRNA
Rfam family: 5.8S ribosomal RNA (bases 241-395)
Source: RNAcentral
UUCCGUAGGUGAACCUGCGGAAGGAUCAUUCACACAUAUCCACUCAUUUCACUGUGAACCUCCUUUUAUGAGUUCUUGCACGGGUUUGGGAGCUUCGUCUUGCUCUCUCGUGCUUGAAGUCGCGGGUAGUGGAGCAGCCUUGGACCGUCUUCCUUUGCUGUGAAGCUAUCGUUAUUUGUAGCAAUACACAUGUGUCUUCAUGUAGCUCUGGGUGGUGUCAACCACUUUUCUUUCGAAUACAACUUUCAGCGACGGAUGUCUCGGCUCGAACAACGAUGAAGGGCGCAGCGAAGUGUGAUAAGCAUUGUGAAUUGCAGAAUUCCGUGAACCAAUAGGGAUUUGAACGUAUACUGCGCUUUCGGGCUAUUCCUGAAAGCAUGCCUGCUUCAGUGUCUAUUGAUAUUCAUACCACCAGCGAUAUCCACUUGUGGUGUGCUGUGUGAGUGUAUUUGUGUGUCAAGGAGCUUCGUGCCCUUGACACAUUGAGUUGUCGGGUGCUGUCUGUGGCAAGCAAUUGGAAUAACACCUCGUGUGUGCCUUCUUGCUUUCUGCAGUUGUGUGCCUGGUCAUCCACUUUUUCAUCAAGACAUGAAGUUAGGUCAGCAAACCCGCUGAAUUUAAGCAUAUCAAUAAGC